RNAcentral lists this ribosomal RNA (301 nucleotides) under uncultured bacterium. RNAcentral describes it as "partial 16S ribosomal RNA". It matches the Rfam family "Bacterial small subunit ribosomal RNA", at positions 509 to 807 of the family's 1533-position model. The record is from RNAcentral.
CAGUAGCCACGGGAAUACGAAGGGGGCUAGCGUUGUUCGGAAUUACUGGGCGUAAAGCGCACGUAGGCGGAUAUUUAAGUCAGGGGUGAAAUCCCAGAGCUCAACUCUGGAACUGCCUUUGAUACUGGGUAUCUUGAGUAUGGAAGGGGUGAGUGGAAUUCCGAGUGUAGAGGUGAAAUUCGUAGAUAUUCGGAGGAACACCAGUGGCGAAGGCGGCUCACUGGUCCAUUACUGACGCUGAGGUGCGAAAGCGUGGGGAGCAAACAGGAUUAGAUACCCCCGUAGUCCCUGUCUCUUAUAC